Molecule: ribosomal RNA, 1717 nt
Filed under: uncultured eukaryote
Lineage: Eukaryota
Description: SSU rRNA
Rfam family: Eukaryotic small subunit ribosomal RNA
Source: RNAcentral
AGUGAUAUGCUUGUCUCAAAGAUUAAGCCAUGCAUGUGUAAGCACAAAUCAUUUGGUUAAACCGCGAAUGGCUCAUUAUAACAGCCAUAGUUUACUGGAGAUUGCAAGAUUACUUGGAUAACUGUGGUAAUUCUACAGCUAAUACAUGCCUCAAAACUCCAUUUCUAAUGGGGUACUCUUGCUAUCCAAGAAACCGAUCGAGCGUAAGCUCGUUUAUUCGGUGAAUCAGAGCAAUGAAGUUGAUCGCAUGGUCUAUGAACCGGCGACACUUCCUUCAAACGUCUGCCUUAUCAACUUUCGAUGGUAGAUUAUGCGCCUACCAUGGUUUUCACGGGUAACGGGGAAUCAGGGUUCGAUUCCGGAGAGGGAGCCUGAGAAAUGGCUACCACAUCCAAGGAAGGCAGCAGGCACGCAAAUUACCCAAUCCCGGCACGGGGAGGUAGUGACGAAAAAUAACGAGGCAGGCUCCCUAUGGGGUUUGUCAUCGGAAUGAGUACAAUUUAAAUCACUUAACGAGGAUCCAUUGGAGGGCAAGUCUGGUGCCAGCAGCCGCGGUAAUUCCAGCUCCCAUAGCGUAUAUUAAAGUUGCUGCGAUUAAAAAAGCUCGUAGUUGGAGGUGACUGCAAAGCUUGAUCCUUUUUUCAGUUGUCUUGUGAUGCUCUUUAUUGAGUGUCAUGAGAUGCUGAAGCUAUUACCUUGAAAAAAUUGAAGUGCUCAAAGCAGGCGCUUGCCUGAACAUCGCUGCAUGGGAUAAUAAAAUAGGACUUCGGUUCUACUUUGUUGGUUUCCGGAACGCGAAGUAAUGAUGAAUAGGGACAGACGGGGGCAUUCGUACUGCUGCGUUAGAGGUGAAAUUCUUGGAUCGCAGCAAGACGAACUACUGCGAAAGCAUUUGCCAAGAAUGUUCUCAUUAAUCAAGAACGAAAGUUAGAGGUUCGAAGGCGAUCAGAUACCGCCCUAGUUCUAACCGUAAACGAUGCAAGCUAGCGAUCUGCCGGAGUUACAUAUCGGCUCGGCAGGCAGCCUUCGGGAAACCAUUAAGCGUUUCUGUUACGGGGGUAGUAUUAUCUCAAGAUUGGAACUUAAAGACAUUGACGGAAGGGCACCACCAGGAGUGGAGCCUGCGGCUUAAUUUGACUCAACGCGGGAAAACUCACUUGGGCAGGACACUGUGAGGAUUGACAGAUUGAAAGCUCUUUCUUGAUUCGGUGGUUGGUGGUGCAUGGCCGUUCUUAGUUGGUGGAGUGAUUUGUCUGGUUAAUUCCGAUAACGAACGAGACUCUAGCCUACUAACUAGGUGGGAUAUAAAAAGUAUUUCACGCUUCUUAGAGGGACAGGGGGCUCCAGCCCCACGAAAUUGAGCAAUAACAGGUCUGUGAUGCCCUUAGAUGUCCAAGGCUGCACGCGCGCUACAAUGAAAGCGGCAGCAUGUUGUUCCUGGUUUGAUGAAAUCCGGGAAACCAUGUGAAUUGUUUUCCUGCUUGGGAUUGGGGCUUGUAAUUAUUUCCCAUAAACGAGGAAUUCCUAGUAAUAGCGCGUCAUCAUCGCGCUCUGAUUACGUCCCUGCCCUUUGUACACACCGCCCGUCGCUACUACCGAGCGGAAGAUCUAAUGAAAUUAUCCGACUGGGCAUAUAGUUGCGGCAACGUGACUAUGUGCCUGGAAAGAUACUUGAAUUCGACCUUCUCGAGGAAGUAAAAGUCGUAACAAGGUUUCC